Molecule: ribosomal RNA, 549 nt
Filed under: uncultured bacterium
Lineage: Bacteria
Description: partial 16S ribosomal RNA
Rfam family: Bacterial small subunit ribosomal RNA
Source: RNAcentral
UGGGGAAUCUUCCGCAAUGGACGAAAGUCUGACGGAGCAACGCCGCGUGUAUGACGAAGGCCUUCGGGUUGUAAAGCACUUUUGUCCGGAAAGAAAUCCUUGGCUCUAAUACAGUCGGGGGAUGACGGUACCGGAAGAAUAAGCACCGGCUAACUACGUGCCAGCAGCCGCGGUAAUACGUAGGGUGCAAGCGUUAAUCGGAAUUACUGGGCGUAAAGCGUGCGCAGGCGGUUUGCUAAGACCGAUGUGAAAUCCCCGGGCUCAACCUGGGAACUGCAUUGGUGACUGGCAGGCUAGAGUAUGGCAGAGGGGGGUAGAAUUCCACGUGUAGCAGUGAAAUGCGUAGAGAUGUGGAGGAAUACCGAUGGCGAAGGCAGCCCCCUGGGCCAAUACUGACGCUCAUGCACGAAAAGCGUGGGGAGCAAAACAGGAUUAGAUACCCUGGUAGUCCACGCCCUAAACGAUGUCAACUAGUUGUUGGGGAUUCAUUUCCUUAAGUAACGUAGCUAACGCGUGAAGUUGGACCGCCUGGGGAGUACGGUCGCAAGA